UACAGAGGUCUCAAGCGUUGUUCGGAUUCAUUGGGCGUAAAGGGUGCGUAGGCGGCGAGGCAAGUCGGAUGUGAAAUCUCAGGGCUCAACCCUGAAACUGCAUUCGAUACUGCUCUGCUCGAGGACUGGAGAGGAGAUUGGAAUUCACGGUGUAGCAGUGAAAUGCGUAGAUAUCUGGAGGAACACCGGUGGCGAAGGCGGCAUCCUGGACCAAUAUUGACGCUGAGGAGCGAAAGCUAGGGGAGCAAACGGG
This 253-nucleotide ribosomal RNA is filed under the name uncultured bacterium. Its description in RNAcentral is "partial 16S ribosomal RNA". It matches the Rfam family "Bacterial small subunit ribosomal RNA", at positions 524 to 776 of the family's 1533-position model. The record is from RNAcentral.